Molecule: long non-coding RNA, 1601 nt
Filed under: Bos indicus x Bos taurus (hybrid cattle)
Lineage: Eukaryota; Metazoa; Chordata; Mammalia; Artiodactyla; Bovidae
Description: lncRNA (ENSBIXG00000027106.1)
Source: RNAcentral
CUAAACUGCAAAACACAUAUAGCCCAAAGGUUUUAGAUAGGAGGCUGUGGGGCUGCACUGAGAGUCUGCUGCUGCAGUUAAACUCCUGCCUGCUCUUUGAACCACUGAUGAGUUGGACUUGCAGGACCCCAGGGGCUGUGUUCUGAUCAGUGAGUGGGGUCUGGAAAUAGUUUGAAACAGACAUUUCUGGUGUUCAGUUUGAAUGCAGCUCCUGCUGCCCCUGAGACGUUUGCCUCCUGUCGCAGCCUAAUUAUCCAGUGUUCACAGUGUCUGCCUCAUUUGCCUUUGCCUGGGUUUCUCAUUCUCACUGCAUUUCCCUUCUAGGCCUGAAUUUUAACCCUACUUUGCAAAUCUGCUUUCCUGAGUUUUGUUUCUAUCAACCCCUUUCUCCCGGACUGCACCUGGCUUCCUAUAUCACUUACAUCGACUCUGCUCAGCAUGCAGAUCUGUGACUCAGGGCUCAAGUUUCCGCCCUGGCCUGUCUCAGGCCUGUGUUGUGUUCUCUCUGACACUCAGAUCCUGAGAGUUGGAUACAGGGUCUUCCGUGGAGAGCUUCUCGGUGUGGAUUCUCAUCAUCAUUAGAGUUGCUGAGGGCAUAUGUUUUGGACUUUUCUUGCCUGAUUUGUGAGAUUCUGCUGACAUCCAGGAAAGUGCUGCAAAAAAAACCUGUUGCUCAUAUCCAAGCUUAUGUGUUUCGUGGCAGAGCCACGAGCACUGAGCUCAAGUUUCUUGACAACAAGUCUUAUUUAUGGAGAAACAAACAUAGGCGGUAUUUCGUGGGACCAUGCUGUUCUCUUUCUUUGGAGCUUAGAAUUGAAGAAAACGUAUGGAUGUGAGAGUUGGACUGUGAAGAAGGCUGAGCACCGAAGAAUUGAUGCUUUUGAACUGUGGUGUUGGAGAAGACUCUUGAGAGUCCCUUGGACUGCAAGGAGAUCCAACCAGUCCAUUCUAAAGGAGAUCAGAAGGGUGUUCUUUGAAAGGACUGAUGCUGAAGCUGAAACUCCAAUACUUUGGCCACCUAUUGUGAAGAGUUGACUCGUUGGAAAAGACCCUGAUGCUGGGAAAGAUUGAGGUCAGGAGGAGAAGGGGACGACAGAGGAUGAGAUGGCUGGAUGGCAUCACCAACUCAAUCGACGUGAGUUUGAGUGAACUCCGGGAGUUAGUGAUGGACAGGGAGGCCUGGUGUGCUGCGAUUCAUGGGGUCGCAAAGAGUUGGACGCGACUGAGCAACUGAACUGAACUGAACUGGACUGAACGCUUUACUUGGUCAUUUAAGUGUAUGGUGGCUGGUGUUUGUGGAUUUAUUCAUUUUGGAGAUGCUCUGUUUGCUUUUUUGCUAAUUCUAAUUCAGAGUUAUGAAUCCUGCUUUCAUUUUCUUCUCUGUUACUUUGUGCUUGCAACUUCUUUCUGAUUUUCCUAGGUAUGAAAAAGAGAAAUCUUGAGAUACGCAUCAAAACAACACCAAACAGAAACACAGUUGUGCAAAGCAGAGAGGCCUCAUUAAACUUGUGUUUUUUUUAAGUUACUUAAAAAUCAAGAAUGACCUUAUAAAUAAUUAUAAAUAUAAUAAAAGAUAUAAUAAUAAAUCUAAUAAAAGAAUG